This 253-nucleotide ribosomal RNA is filed under the name uncultured bacterium. RNAcentral describes it as "partial 16S ribosomal RNA". It matches the Rfam family "Bacterial small subunit ribosomal RNA", at positions 524 to 776 of the family's 1533-position model. The record is from RNAcentral.
UACAGAGGUCUCAAGCGUUGUUCGGAUUCAUCGGGCGUAAAGGGUGCGUAGGUGGCGCCGUAAGUCAGGUGUGAAAUUUCGGAGCUUAACUCCGAAACUGCAUUUGAUACUGCGGUGCUUGAGGACUGGAGAGGAGACUGGAAUUCACGGUGUAGCAGUGAAAUGCGUAGAUAUCGUGAGGAAGACCAGUGGCGAAGGCGGGUCUCUGGACAGUUCCUGACACUGAGGCACGAAGGCCAGGGGAGCAAACGGG